RNAcentral lists this non-coding RNA (51 nucleotides) under Trypanosoma brucei brucei. Lineage: Eukaryota; Euglenozoa; Kinetoplastea; Trypanosomatida; Trypanosomatidae. The record is from RNAcentral.
AUAAACGAUCAAAUGUGUUACUUGUAAGAUAGAGAUUGUAAUUAUAAUGGU